Equus quagga is the source of this 3562-nucleotide long non-coding RNA. RefSeq lists it as uncharacterized. The record is from RefSeq and is a predicted model, not a curated record. NCBI's taxonomy places the organism in Eukaryota, Metazoa, Chordata, Mammalia, Perissodactyla, Equidae. The transcript is spliced from 2 exons.
AAACACACCUUGUUACUUUUUUUACUAAUUUACCACCACAAGUCCAAACUCUGCUUAGAUUGCUUACUAAUGAAGCACCCAAACCUAAGUAUCUUUGUCCUGUCAAAUCCUCACAAAUUUAGUGUUUCUGUGUGUAAAAAGUAUAAAAGCUGCCUGCUUUGGUCACUUCUGAGCGUUAAUUUUAUGAUCUCCCACGUGUACGCAUUAAAUUCGAGUUUUCUCUUUAAUCUGUCUUGUGUUAAUUUUACUAUGAGGCCAGCCACAAGAACUCAAGAGGAAUAAGGGGGAAAUUUCCCCCUCCCGGACAGGGGCAUCUACCACUUCCACUCAUACCUGCUUCGCCGCAAGGGAAUCUGAAAAGUGAAACCUGGAGCUGUAGAACUGUAUCUUAUGGAAGGACAGAACUGAUUUAGAUGGACAGCUAGCCAUCUCUGCCACAUACCAAUGCCCAAAAAUUAUCAUAUCGCUUGUCACUCUACCAUUAAUGAAGGCUUUUCGAGACCUUCGACAACCUUUUCUGAGAAAUGCAACUGUCCCUGGAAGAGCAUGCCUGGACUUACUACCUCCACAUCUGUAACACAAGGGAACCACAGACAAUACCAAUCAUUUAUCAAUUUAGCUAAUCAGCCAAACAUGAAUCCCUUGGUCCCACCCAUGGAGAGAUCCUGAUUAAGAGAGUCUGGGAAUAAUGGAUUCAAUGAUACGCAUCAAAUUCUGGUCCGGAAUCCACAAUCAGCAGAAAUCACAAGUGAAUUACACACUUUGAAAGAAGUGGUUUGUUGCUUGCUCUAGGUUUAAAACACAAAGUUUCCACUAUCCUUAGUAACUGACAAGCAUGCUGGGCUUUGGCUACAUUUGAUGAUUACACUGCUAUUAUUCCAAAUGCAUCAAACAAUAAAUAUCUUUUUCCUAUUAGGCUUCCUAUUACCUUACUUGUUUUUAUUUAAAACUUUUUGUGUUUUUGUUUAAAGGGGGGAAAAAGCAUAUAAGAGAAAAUAAAAGAGAAAUAGGAACAUGCAACACAUUGAAAAGCACUGGCAAUUAAGACUGAGAUUAUCCAGCUUCAGCAAAAUGCAUCUGAAACCAGAAGAGCUGAAGUACUUAAAAUUUGUUUCAAGAAGCCUAUGUUCGGAUCUCCAACAAGCACUACAUGUGUCUCAAAUGCAGACAUCCCUGCUAUGGAAGGACUCUCCUGGCUGUCAGCUUAGUAAGGGGCUGACUCUGCUGCAAAGUAUGACAUUACACAAUUACAAAUGCUUGACAGUUCAUGUGGUUUAGACAAUUUGAGCACUCUGAAUUGAAUACCAAACAAAAACAGCAGGGCUAUGUGGUUUCAUAUAAUUUGACUUAUGGCUUCUGGAACAUCUUUUAAUUUUUUCUGUAUUUGUUAAUUUUAAGGAGUGACUGUCAUACUACGGUGGCUUAAAAUAAAGUUUACAAUAUAACCAAUGUUUAUCUAAGAAAUAGUCCUCAUAAUAUGAGAUAAUUAUGAUACAAAAAAAUUAUCAAAGGCUAGAAAACAAUAGGCAAAGGGAGAGUCCCCCAAAGUGCCCUUUUUAGCAACCAACUGCCUAGGCAAAGAAGUAAGAUUUCCCAAAUCCUAUGGUGUGAUCUUACCAAUUUCUAAUGAACUGGAAGAUGCAAUCCUUAAAACUAAAAACAAAAUGCAAUUACUUUUCUGCUUUAGGGACUCAGCAUCUGCUAGAAUGACCAUCAUAUACGCUGGUUUAGAAACAAACCUACUAAGAUAAAGAAAGCAACUUCAAAAAUGCGGGUAUAUACAGCCUUCCCUCUCCACAGUCUUCCACACUCCCAUUCCUAUUUUGACUUUUCCUUUUUGUCUCGAAACUCCAACGCUCUCAGGCAUAACACUCUUGUCUGGCUGUCCUCUCCCUCUGACCAGGUCUGACAGGGUGUUUAGGAGUCAGACAGCCUCUACCGUUUUCACCUCUGUAUCCACACACCUUUCCUCCCCUAGGAAACAGGAGGAGUCGUGGUACCAACCCCCAUAUGCUCACUGUGAGGCUCAAUCCUCAGUUAACUGAGGAUAAACUCAGUACGUAAUGUCCUUAGACCAGUGUUUGGCACCUGGCAAGUGCUCAGCAAGUAUUAACCAUCAUCAUCAUCAAAAACAAUCUUCUGUUUGAUAUCCCUACUGCUGAAAGGACUUUCAGACCAUAAUGCUGCAAGAACAUAUCUUCCCCACCAUCACCCCCACCAGAUCUUUCUCAUACAAACUGAAUAGUCCCUGUGUAGACAGACUUCGCAAAAAGACAAGACAUAAGUGUAUGUUUUUUAAAAAUUUGGCAGGUACAAAAAUAAUUUGAAUAUGUGCGAGGCACUAAGCAUAACAUAACAAAACCCUGAGUACAGAUCACAGUUUAAGAAAAUUAAAUUCAGGGGGCCAGCCCCAUGACCAAGCAGUUAAAAUUCUGCACACUCAGCUUCAGGAGCCUGGGUUCACAGGUUCGCAUCCCAGAUACAAACCUACUCCACUCAUCAGCCAUGCUGUGGAGGCAUCCCACACACAAAACAGAGGGAGACAGGCAAUAGAUGUUAGCUCAAGACGAGUCUUCCCCACCAAAAAAAAAAAAAAAAAAAUUAAAUUCUUAUCUUUCAGUUCUGUUUCGGUAUCCCUAUCACCUUCUCUCUUCUAAUAGAGCUACCCACUAAUUUGAAUGUGUUUGUAAUUAAUCUGUUUUAUUACUUUGCCAUAUCUGUAUUCCUAACAGUAGGGACUUUUGCUUUACAUGUUUCAAAACUUUAAAAAAGGAAAAAUACUAUGUGCAUUCUUCUGGAAGUAGCUUUUUUUCCUCAAUAUGAUAUUCCUGACAAUAAUCCUCAGUGGUGCAUGUGGCUAAAAUCCAUUCAGUUGCACUCCUAUAGGAAUACAAUUUAUCCAUUCUCCUCUGAUGGACACUGCUUCCAGUUUUUGCCUUUUACAAACAGUGCAACUGUGAGCAUUCUUGUCAUGUCCUCAGGCACUCACAUACAUGCGUUUCUCUGGGGCAGCAGUUUGCCAAUUUUAGCAUGCAUUAAACCACCUGAACGGCUUGUUAAGACUGAAAGCUGGCUCAUCCCCAAAGCUUCUGAUUCAAUAGGUCUAGGGUGGAGCCCCCAAUUUUGCAUUUAUAGUAAGUUCCUGUGAGAUGCUGAAAACACAAUUUAGAAGCACUGCUCCAGGAUAAAGACCCAGGAGUAGAAUCACUGGGUCAAAGUGUACAUCCAUCUUUAACUUUACUAGGUAAUCCCAAAGUUAUGGUACCAAUUUGCAAUCCCACCAGUUGUGUGUAAGCAUUCCAGUUAUUUCCGACCUUCCUAAACAGCAGACAUUGUCCGAUUUUUACACUGUUGCCAACCCAAUGUUAUGAAACUAUACACCACGUUGGUCCUAAACUGCCUUUCCCUCAUUACUAAUGAAGUCGAGAAUCUCUGCAUGCAGGUUUCCUCUUCUGUGAGAUGCCUACUUGGGUCAUAGGCCCAUUUUUCUAUUGUUCUUACUGAUUUGUCACUGUUUACCUUUCUAGAUACAAUCCUUUCUCAAUAAUACGUACUGAAAAUA